Molecule: long non-coding RNA, 1030 nt
Filed under: Marmota monax (woodchuck)
Lineage: Eukaryota; Metazoa; Chordata; Mammalia; Rodentia; Sciuridae
Source: RNAcentral
GGACAGGUAAAAAAAACUAAAAGGAACCAUUAAAGAGACCUUAACAAAAUUAAGCUUAGAGAGCGGCAUAAAAGAUUGGACUAUGCUCCUGCCUUAUGCACUGUUUCAUGCAAGAAAUACUCCCUCUGUUUCUUUGUGUAACCUCACCCCCUAUGAAAUUCUCUAUGGGGCCCCUCCUCCAGUAAGGGACCUAACCCCAACUGUAAGACCUAACGAUCCCUUCCAAACCCCCUUGCUUGACAGACUUAAAGCUCUUGAAAGAACUCAGUGAUACCUGUGGAAACAGCUGGCCACUGCCUACCAACCUGGUGAAGAGGGGACUCAACAUCGAUAUCAAGUAAGAGACUUCAUCUACAUAAGAUGACAUCAGGUGUCGUUCCUGGAACCCCGCUGGACAGGACCAUACCAGGUGCUACUUAUGACACCUACAGUGGUAAAGGUAGACGGAAUCACUUCCUGGAUCCUAAUUCUCAUCUCAACCUGCGCCCUAUCCAGACUCUGGCUGGAAACCUGAAAAGACUGGUAACCCUUUCAAAUUGCAUAUUCACCAUGUGGAUAAGGCUAUAGACUCUCCCCUUGGCCACCAGUAGUCCUAACCCUCAUCAGCCCAUUCAGCAGCGAUGGCUGAUCACAAAUCCUACUAGACAAGAAGUAUCAUAUAUCUUGCAUACAGCCCCCUUAGGGACCUGGUGGCCAUCUCUCCACCCAGACAUUUGUCAGCUGGCAAUAGGUCUUUCCUAUUGGGAUAUCCCUGAUGAAGAGGAUCCCAAUAAAAUUCCAUUAAAUCCCUUCCAUACCAUAGAUAAUGGAAACAAACAUUAUGGAUGUAGGGACAUGCGAGCCAGAUGCAGGUUGGCUAGCCUAGAUUACUAUGUUUGCCCGGCGGACUAUCAAAGCCACAAAGAGCCACGGCUAUGUGGGGGAAAAGAAGACUUCUUCUGUAAAUAAUGGGGAUGUGAGCACACAGGGGCUGCCUGGUGAAACCCAAACUCCUCAUCAAAUUCAGUACACAGCAUUGGCCAUAUUACCA